AUGGAAACACUGGGGCAAGCAUUUCAGCUUCGAGAAACUGCUCCAGUAGAUUUACCCUCUGCGGAAAAAGGCAUACCUACUAUUUCGGGCAAACCGAAAAGUGAGUCCAAGGACAAAGAGAAAAAACAUAAAAAGCACAAAGACAAAGAUAAAGACAGGGAGCAUAAGAAGCACAAACAUCGACAUAAGGAUCGGUCUAAAGACAAAGACAAGGACAAGGAUAAGAAAAAGGAUAAGCAUCAUGAGAAGAAGAGGAAGCAUGAGGGGACAGAGGAUUCGGCAGACGUGCAUAAGCACAAAAAAAGCAAGCAUAAGAGUUCCAAAACCGAUGAGAUGGGUAAUGGACUUAGUUAG
This 354-nucleotide ribosomal RNA is filed under the name Triticum aestivum (bread wheat). RNAcentral describes it as "partial small subunit ribosomal RNA". The record is from RNAcentral. Lineage: Eukaryota; Viridiplantae; Streptophyta; Magnoliopsida; Poales; Poaceae.